RNAcentral lists this RNase P RNA (393 nucleotides) under Lachnospiraceae bacterium. RNAcentral describes it as "RNase P RNA component class A". It matches the Rfam family "Bacterial RNase P class A". From Rfam's summary of the family: Ribonuclease P (RNase P) is a ubiquitous endoribonuclease, found in archaea, bacteria and eukarya as well as chloroplasts and mitochondria. Its best characterised activity is the generation of mature 5'-ends of tRNAs by cleaving the 5'-leader elements of precursor-tRNAs. Cellular RNase Ps are ribonucleoproteins. Lineage: Bacteria; Bacillati; Bacillota; Clostridia; Lachnospirales; Lachnospiraceae. The record is from RNAcentral.
CAAGUAGGACAAAUGAUCGCGGCUGCAGGUAAUGCAGGUGAGGAAAGUCCGGGCUUCACAGGGCAGGAUGCCGGAUAACGUCCGGUGGAGGCGACUCCAAGGAUAGUGCAACAGAAAUAAACUGCCGCGCAGGGGAUGCGCAUUUGCGGAUUUCCCCCAAUCCGGUUUUGCCGGAUGGAUCCGCGGUGAGGGUGGAAAGGCAGUGUAAGAGACUACCGCCUGCACGGUAACGGGCAGGGCACAUGUAAACCCCAUCCGAAGCAAGGCCAAACAGAAAGCGUUAACAGCCGGCCCGGCGAGUUUUCAGGUAGGCCGCUUGAGGCUGCUGGCGACAGCAGUCCUAGAUAGAUGAUCAUUCAACGACAUAACCCGGCUUAUCGUCCUGCUUGUAUU